CUGACGGCCGCGUCCGGGUCAAUUGCGAACUGCAACACCCAACCGCCCUCCGUGCGCCUCCGUCGAUGGAGGUGCGGGAGGGGCAACGCGUCGCCAUCAG
Molecule: non-coding RNA, 100 nt
Submitted as: unclassified sequences
Source: Rfam